Molecule: long non-coding RNA, 602 nt
Organism: Venturia canescens
Lineage: Eukaryota; Metazoa; Arthropoda; Insecta; Hymenoptera; Ichneumonidae
Exons: 3
Source: RefSeq, a predicted model, not a curated record
GAAGCAAAGAUUAAUUGGAGCUGUGGUUUGAGUUAAUGAUAAGAGCAAGAUAUUUUUCGUAUCUCAGUGCACUGUGACGAACGCACUCUCCCCCUGUUUUUGACUUUUCCAGAACCAUUUUUUCCAUAUAUUUUUAUUAUCGCAUCCUGGAAACUUUUUCUCGUUACCUGAAAAGAGAUAAAAUGAUUGGAGAAAUCAGAGAAUGCUGUUGAACAUUUGUUAAAAACAAUCUACAAAAUUGAUUUUCAAGAAGUCAUGUAACAUUGAUGCAGAUAUCAAUUGCAACUAAAGCAAGUGAUAAAUAUACAGGACCCGGGACUCUUCUCAAGACGGAGGGAUAGAGAAGAACAAAUUAGCUGGGAGACUUUAAGCGCUGAUUCAAUUUCAAGCAAGGCCAAUGAAGGCGUCAAACUAAGAGAUACAAGAACAUCCAUUGACUUGAAAAUACAAAUGUAUUCUUUCAUAGUGUUUACACAAAUCUAAUUACUUGUCUCCUGUUUUAAUCUGCAAAAUGAUGAUUUUUGGUCUUAAAAAAAACAAUUUUGUUUCAAUCAUCACAUAAAACAAUGUCCAUGUAUUAAUUCUUAUAAUGAAAAACCUGU